AUCGCCAGGUAGACCAUGCAGAAAAUAG
Molecule: non-coding RNA, 28 nt
Filed under: Cricetulus griseus (Chinese hamster)
Lineage: Eukaryota; Metazoa; Chordata; Mammalia; Rodentia; Cricetidae
Source: RNAcentral